Molecule: ribosomal RNA, 601 nt
Filed under: Metanoeus sp. UPOL 000105
Lineage: Eukaryota; Metazoa; Arthropoda; Insecta; Coleoptera; Lycidae
Description: partial 16S ribosomal RNA
Rfam family: Bacterial large subunit ribosomal RNA (bases 377-535)
Source: RNAcentral
CAUGUCCUUUUGAUUAUAAUUUAAGGUCUAAUCUGCUCAAUGAUAAUUAAAUUGCCGCAGUAUAUUGACUGUGCAAAGGUAGCAUAAUAAUUAGUUUAUUAAUUAUAAACUGGAAUGAAUGAUUGGACAAGAAAAUUUCUGUCUCUUUAUUAAUAUUUUUUGAAUUUUAUUUUUAAGUGAAAAAGCUUAAAUUUAUGUAAAAGACGAGAAGACCCUAUAGAGUUUAAUAUAUUUAUUUAUUUAAUAUUAGAAUGUAAGUAAAAAUUAUAUAUUUAGUUGGGGUGACUUAAAAAUUUAUAAAAUUUUUUAAUUUUUUAAUUGGUGAUUUCUAAAUAAAAUAUCUAUAGUUUAUAAUUAUAAAAUAAAUUACCUUAGGGAUAACAGCGUAAUUAUUUUUAAAAGAUCUUAUUUAAAAAAUAGUUUGCGACCUCGAUGUUGGAUUAAAAUUAAUAUUUGGUGAAGUAGCUUAAGUAUUGGGUCUGUUCGACCUUUAAAAUUUUACAUGAUCUGAGUUUAGACCGGUGUAAACCAGGUCGGAUUCUAUCUUUAAAAAAAUUAUAUAUUUUAGUACGAAAGGACCAAAUAUAUAUUAAAUUAAUUG